Molecule: ribosomal RNA, 440 nt
Filed under: uncultured bacterium
Lineage: Bacteria
Description: partial 16S ribosomal RNA
Rfam family: Bacterial small subunit ribosomal RNA
Source: RNAcentral
CCUACGGGUGGCAGCAGUGGGGAAUAUUGCACAAUGGGGGGAACCCUGAUGCAGCGACGCCGCGUGAGUGAAGAAGUAUCUCGGUAUGUAAAGCCCUAUCAGCAGGGAAGCAGAUGACGGUACCUGACUAAGAAGCCCCGGCUAACUACGUGCCAGCAGCCGCGGUAAUACGUAGGGGGCAAGCGUUAUCCGGAUUUACUGGGCGUAAAGGGAGCGUAGACGGCAGGGCAAGUAUGGAGUGAAAGCCCGGGGCCCAACCCCGGGACGGCUUUGGAAACUGCCAUGCUAGAGUGCUGGAGAGGUAAGCGGAAUGCCUGGUGUAGCGGUGAAAUGCGUAGAUAUUAGGAGGAACACCAGUGGCGAAGGCGGCUUACUGGACAGUAACUGACGUUGAGGCACGAAAGCGUGGGGAGCGAACAGGAUUAGAUACCCCAGUAGUC